UUGUACUGUGGCCUGCACGCUGGCAUCCAAUCAGCCAGUUACAUUGAGUUUGUAGAACAAUCUGUUACAGCCAGCUCAAUGGUGAAAAAAUUAUCGGGAUGGACCCGUGGUAGUGAAUAGCACGUUUCUGAUAAAGAUGUGACCAAGUCUUGUGCUAUGACUGCACUGCAAAGGAGUACUUCCUCAAGGCCCUUGCCACUACGAGCAGUAUAAUCAGUCACGAAUUGACAUUUGCAGCUCCCAUACUGCUUAUGUGUGAAAUAGAAACAGGAUUUCUGGAUUAAUUCAGUAUAAAAGUGUGUUUGUGUGAACGUUUGUUUUUUAUUUUCAUACCCUUAAUAAUUCAACAUUCCGUUAAUUCAGAAUUUUGUUCCAGUCCUGGGAAAUUUCAAUGAAUGAGCUUUUACUGUAUACACCCCUUCUUUCACCGCAUGUGUAAUUUGAGCUCACUGGGUUACUGCAAGAACUUUUUUCAGCCUCAAGGGUAAGAUUUCUAGCUCGGACAAAGCAGCUCCUUAAGGAUGCAAGAAGUUUUACUGUUGUUUUCUACUGUUCCUAUCUGCUUCCCUAAACUUCUUCUCAAAUGUAAAGAAAAUCUAGUAUAUCACGUACAAAAGGUGCUUGUCGCUGACUGUGGGAUUAAAUGUGGUGAAUCCUCUGAGCUAGAAUUGUCCCUGGCCCAUGUCAGUGAAGCUUCAUUGACUAGGGCUUUCCUACAGCCAGGAUGUAAACUUUGAACCUUUUGCAUAUAUCUUAGUUUUAUCCUUGAGUGCCAUCACUGUGUCUGGCAACCUAGUUUCCCUUAAUAACUGUUACCUUUUUUAUCCAUUAUUUCGGAAAAAGAUACUUUUUCUGAGAGCACAUAUGCUAUUUUUGUAUUUGAGUAACUAAUCUCUUGCAAUUUUCAUCUUUCGUAGGUUCACAAUCGAAAUGGGUUAUUUAUUUGUGCUAGUAAGUGGAUGUGGGUAAACCAAGCCAAAACGGACAGCACGUUUGCCAGGGAGAUUGCCCGAUGCUUGUGGCAGGCACAUGAAUUAAUCCACAGGAGUGUUACGAGCAUAAUAUGUAUGCAAAAGCUAAAGGAAGGUGGUGAGGCCAAGCCAGCGUUGACACCACAAAAACUUGGUGCAUAUCUAAAGGCAUACGAGCACUUUGUUUCAAAAACACCAAGCACCGUGGAUACAGAGGCAAGGAGGCUGAAGGACCUGAACAAGCACCUGGCCACCAUGCUUCGGGAUGCAAAAUAAAGAUGGUUUGUGUUAA
Dermacentor andersoni is the source of this 1263-nucleotide non-coding RNA. The record is from RefSeq and is a predicted model, not a curated record. NCBI's taxonomy places the organism in Eukaryota, Metazoa, Arthropoda, Arachnida, Ixodida, Ixodidae.